GGGGCUAUAGCUCAGUUGGUAGAGUGCUUGCCUUGCAUGCACAAGGCCCUGGGUUCGAUCCCCAGCACCA
Molecule: transfer RNA, 70 nt
Filed under: Urocitellus parryii (Arctic ground squirrel)
Lineage: Eukaryota; Metazoa; Chordata; Mammalia; Rodentia; Sciuridae
Also listed under: 2 other names
Description: Spermophilus parryii (Arctic ground squirrel) tRNA
Rfam family: tRNA
About the family: Transfer RNA (tRNA) molecules are approximately 80 nucleotides in length.
Source: Rfam by way of RNAcentral